AAGACUAUAGACCUGCGGAGUACCUGCGGAGGGAUCAUUACAGUGCUCGUCGGUACGUCGCGUCUCCGGGCGUCGGCGCACCGCACCUGCCCCACCCGUGUCUACCUUUCUUCUGUUGCUUCGGCGGGCCCGCCCCCGAGCGUACCCACGCGCUGGGUGCGUCCGGCGGCGGACCGGGGGUUUUUCACCCCUGGCCAGCGCCCGUCAGAAGACCCCUUGAACCCUUUGUGAAUGUACGGC
This 240-nucleotide unclassified non-coding RNA is filed under the name soil metagenome. RNAcentral's name for it is "partial contains 5.8S ribosomal RNA, internal transcribed spacer 2, and large subunit ribosomal RNA". The record is from RNAcentral.